AUUGAACGCUGGCGGCAGGCCUAACACAUGCAAGUCGAAUGGUAACAGGAAACAGCUUGCUGUUUCGCUGACGAGUGGCGGACGGGUGAGUAAUGUCUGGGAAACUGCCUGAUGGAGGGGGAUAACUACUGGAAACGGUAGCUAAUACCGCAUAACGUCGCAAGACCAAAGAGGGGGACCUUCGGGCCUCUUGCCAUCAGAUGUGCCCAGAUGGGAUUAGCUAGUAGGUGGGGUAACGGCUCACCUAGGCGACGAUCCGUAGCUGGUCUGAGAGGAUGACCAGCCACACUGGAACUGAGACACGGUCCAGACUCCUACGGGAGGCAGCAGUGGGGAAUAUUGCACAAUGGGCGCAAGCCUGAUGCAGCCAUGCCGCGUGUAUGAAGAAGGCCUUCGGGUUGUAAAGUACUUUCAGCGGGGAGGAAGGGAGUAAAGUUAAUACCUUUGCUCAUUGACGUUACCCGCAGAAGAAGCACCGGCUAACUCCGUG
Molecule: ribosomal RNA, 490 nt
Filed under: uncultured bacterium
Lineage: Bacteria
Description: partial 16S ribosomal RNA
Rfam family: Bacterial small subunit ribosomal RNA
Source: RNAcentral